This 497-nucleotide ribosomal RNA is filed under the name uncultured bacterium. RNAcentral describes it as "partial 16S ribosomal RNA". It matches the Rfam family "Bacterial small subunit ribosomal RNA", at positions 28 to 507 of the family's 1533-position model. The record is from RNAcentral.
GACGAACGCUGGCGGCGUGCCUAAUACAUGCAAGUAGAACGCUGAAGAGAGGAGCUUGCUCUUCUUGGAUGAGUUGCGAACGGGUGAGUAACGCGUAGGUAACCUGCCUUGUAGCGGGGGAUAACUAUUGGAAACGAUAGCUAAUACCGCAUAACAAUGGAUGACACAUGUCAUUUAUUUGAAAGGGGCAAUUGCUCCACUACAAGAUGGACCUGCGUUGUAUUAGCUAGUAGGUGAGGUAAUGGCUCACCUAGGCGACGAUACAUAGCCGACCUGAGAGGGUGAUCGGCCACACUGGGACUGAGACACGGCCCAGACUCCUACGGGAGGCAGCAGUAGGGAAUCUUCGGCAAUGGGGGCAACCCUGACCGAGCAACGCCGCGUGAGGGAAGAAGGUUGUCGGAUCGUAAAGCUCUGUUGUAAGUCAAGAACGGGUGUGAGAGUGGAAAGUUCACACUGUGACGGUAGCUUACCAGAAAGGGACGGCUAACUACGUG